This 525-nucleotide small nuclear RNA is filed under the name Mus musculus (house mouse). RNAcentral's name for it is "7SK RNA". It matches the Rfam family "7SK RNA". From Rfam's summary of the family: 7SK was discovered as an abundant small nuclear RNA in the mid-70s but a possible function has only recently been suggested. Two independent studies have found that 7SK RNA binds the CDK9/cyclin T complex (known as elongation factor P-TEFb). Lineage: Eukaryota; Metazoa; Chordata; Mammalia; Rodentia; Muridae. The record is from Rfam by way of RNAcentral.
GAAUGAUCUGAUUGCGCCAUGUUCCCCUAUUCAUUGAUUUCCAGGGUUGAUUCAGUUGAUCUGGCUGGCUAGGUGGGUGUCCCCUUCCUCCUUCACUGUUCCAUGUCUAUCCCUCACAGAGCUGCCAGCCCCACUACUGAGAACAACUUUUUUUGUUUGUUUGUUUGUUGUUUUUUUGUUUUGUUUUGUUUUUGUUUUUUCGAGACAGGGGUUCUCUGUUUAGCCCUGGCUGUCCUGGAGCUCACUUUGUAGACCAGGCUGGCCUCGAACUCAGAAAUCCGCCUGCCUCUGCCUCCCGAGUGCUGGGAUUAAAGGCGUGCGCCACUAUGCCCGGCUCCGAGGACAACUUUUACCCAAUAGAGGAGAGCCUGUUUUUCUUUGGUCAAAGGCAUCCAGGAGUUUCACUUGAAUUUCCCUACUAAAACCUCCAAACAAGCUCUCAAAGGUGUAAACAUGCAAUGAAAAGAAGCAAAUUAUUUUGCCAACUGUCUAUGUUUUAGGGCUUACUUUAAGGAACCCACCAAU